This 254-nucleotide ribosomal RNA is filed under the name uncultured bacterium. RNAcentral's name for it is "partial 16S ribosomal RNA". It matches the Rfam family "Bacterial small subunit ribosomal RNA", at positions 524 to 776 of the family's 1533-position model. The record is from RNAcentral.
UACGUAGGGGGCAAGCGUUGUCCGGAUUUAUUGGGCGUAAAGAGCUCGUAGGUGGUUCGGUAAGUCGGAUGUGAAAUCUCCAGGCUCAACCUGGAGGGGUCAUUCGAUACUGCCGUGACUAGAGUUCGGUAGGGGAGUGUGGAAUUCCUGGUGGAGCGGUGAAAUGCGCAGAUAUCAGGAGGAACACCUGUGGCGAAAGCGGCGCACUGGACCACAUCUGACGCUGAGGCGCGAAAGCUAGGGGAGCAAACAGG